AAAAAAAAACUUAAAUUUUAAUUAUAGAAAUAUAAAAUUUUAUAUUUUUAUUCGGUACUUACAUACUCAAAUUCCUAUUUAAGAUUUUUAGUGCUUAAACUAAAUAAAAUUAUAAACAAAUUUAAUCUCACUUGUCAUCUUAAUAACAUUUUAGAAGUGUGAACGAGACAUCUGUGUUUGACAAAAAAAUAUAAAUAACUCAAAUUAUCGAGUCAACUAAGUUCAAUAUAUCACUAUAUACUCUGAGCAACUUGUAAAUCUAAUCAAGAUUUUUUUUAAUUUAUAAAUAUAUAUUUAAUAUGUUGAUAUUAAUCGAAUUUGAACUAAGCUUCAAAUAAAACAUUUCAAAAUAAACUUCUCAUCUGGAUUUGAUUACAACCCUACAUUAAUUGUAUUUUUUUAUAAAUAUAUCAAUGUUAUGAGUUUGUUUUUCUUCACCAAAUUAAGUUGAGACCCCAAAUUUUAUAUCUUUUAACAUCUGGUAUUUGGAAAAACAAAACUCACAAACAUUUGAAUUUUAUUUUCGUCAAACAAGUUCAUUUAAAAAAAAAAGUUUCAUUGAGUGAAUAAUAAUUGGUGGACUAUAAAAAAGUCAACUUGUCAUGUUCGUUGAAAAAUGAUCGGCAAGUGGGAACACAAAACACUGGUCAACUAAGUCAGCUCUCAUUUAAAAAACAAUAAUAAUAAUUUAAGUACGCAUUUUUUAAAACAGAAUAGAAAAUAUUUAAUUAAUUAGUUCUAUUAAUUAUAAUUUAGAAAACGACUUCCAAUUUAUUUUAUAAUUUAUUUUUUAAAAAAUGUAUGUGAUCUGUUUCAAAUUUCAACUCUUUUUAUUACAAAAUUAACAUGAAUUAAUUAAACUAGUGUGAACUCAAAAUACUGGUCAAUCAAGUCAACAAUUUAUUUUUAAAAAAAUAACAAAUUACUAAUAAUCAUUUAGUUUGGCAUGUGUAUUUUUUAUAUUCUAUUAAAAUGGUUUUAAAUUUUAAUUAUACUAAUUAAUCUAUAUAAUUUCCCGGAUAUCAUUUAUUUGAAAAACUACAUAACAUUAAAAUAUCUUGUCCGUAUUUUCUUUGACUUGUAAUUAAUGUCAAUUAUAAUUGUCACCGACCAUUUUUUUGCUAAAAAAAAAAGAUGUCUUAGAAUUAUAGCUUUUGUUAUAAUUAUAGUAUAAUCAUAUAAUUUAAACUAAAAUAGUUAUAAAAAUAAAAUAUCACGAGAUCCUUGUGUUAAUGUCAAUUUACAUUUUGCCUCAUUUAUUUAAAAAAUGAUUAAAUUAAUCUAAGUAUAAAAUAGAUGAAUUUUUUAAUAAAACGAUCAGAUUAUUCUUUGAUCAAAUGUGCAUUAAUUAAUUUAUCAAUUUUUGAAUAAAAAAUGUCAAAUACGAUCUGAAUCUUAAUAUAAUAGCUUCCAUAAUAAUUUUAUUAUAGAUAACUAAUACACAAAUGAAAUUCAAACCUAAAUUAUUAUUGAUAUUUAGAUUAAUUUUAUGGUCCGAAUUAUUAUUAUAUCUACAUAGUUAAUUUUUAAACAUAUAUUAUUUAAAUUGUUAAAUAAUAAUCCGAAUUAUAAAUCAAUUUGAAUUAUGCAACUUAUGAUGUAAGGCCGGAUCCAGACUCAUACAUAGUUUGUUUGCAGUUACCCUUUUUGGUAAUUUCGCAUUGCCUUCUCUCCCAUUCUAACGAACCUUCUUACCAACUUUUCCUUUUGCCGACAUGUCCCUCCCACAGAUUUAUUUGGAAACCAAUGACCACUCUCCAUCUAAAACAAUUUACAUAUAUACUAAGAAUAAAUUUAAAAAAAAAUUAAAUUGAAUUAAAAUAAUAAAAUAAAAUUCAUCCAUUUUAAUAAUUUAAAAUAAAUUUUAUUCGAUUCAAUUUAAAUAGAUCUAACAUUCAACCUAAAAGGUUCGAGUAUCACUAUAUUCAAGUUUUUCUAAAUUUAUUUUAACGUAAAAAUUAUAACCUUAAUUCAUAAAAUCUGUUACCAUUUCUUCCCAUCAUCUAUGGGUUGAUAUUGAAUAAAAAUUAACAUUUAAAAUCAUAUUUAAUAUUUAUUUAAUAUCGAAAUUAUAUUUAAAUUUAUUUAAUUUUGGAUCCACCAUUUUUAUUCCAAAGUCCAAACCGAGUGGUGUAAUUUCUUUUUAAUAACAAAAUUAUUUUAAAAAAUCACACGGAAACAUGAAAAGUCAACGUCAACGUCAAAUCUAAAUCGCUUAUUAUACCGCGUUCACACCGUCGCUAAGACACGCGCUUCCUUAGACACAUCUCCAACCGCGUUGGCUACCAUACGUAUAUAUAUAAAUCCUGCGUUCCCAUCUUCAAUUUCAAAUUCAUUUUUGCGUUCAUAUUUCGUCAAACCAAAAAUCAAACCCCAUAAAUUAUUUCAUGGAAAUUGGGUCUUCCCAAUUCUUUGCCGCUGAAGUUCUUGCUUAUAACAACACCGGCAUCAUCACCGGCACCGGCGGAGGAGACGGCGGCAAUUUUUAUUGGUUUCAGGAUAUGGAAGAUGACAAGAAAAGGAGUGGAAACAACGAGUUUAUGGAUUUACAUUCUUCGAUUUCGCUAUUCGAUGCUGAAAUGAAGCACGAGCAACUUCAGUGGUUUACUGAUCCUGAUCAAGGAAGAGGAGCUGUUUUUGAAUCGAAUUACAGUGAAACGAAUGAUUAUUUCGAUCAAAUUCAAAGUCAUUACACUGAAAUCGAUGAAUUUGAUGAUUCACGGAAGAAACGCGCGAGAAAAUCAAGUUCACCGGUAUCUGUUCCGGCGACGGAGGAUUCAGGUCCAUCGCAAUCAGGCGGAACAGGACGGCGGUUAUGGGUGAAAGACAGAUCCAAAGACUGGUGGGAGAAGUGCAACCACCCGGAUUUUCCCGACGAGGAAUUCAAACGCGCGUUUCGAAUGAGCAAAUCGACGUUCGAUAUGAUUUGUAAAGAGCUUGAAUCAACGGUGAUGAAAAAGAACACGACGCUCCGCGAUGCGAUACCGGUUCGUCAACGCGUUGCGGUCUGCAUUUGGCGUUUAGCCACCGGUGAACCGCUCCGAAUGGUAUCAAAACGGUUCGGUUUAGGAAUUUCAACUUGCCAUAAGCUAGUUUUAGAGGUUUGUGCCGCCAUUAAAACUGUUUUAAUGCCUAAAUAUGUCCAAUGGCCCGAUGAAAACAAAUUAAAUAAAACCAAAUCGGAGUUCGAAUCCGUCACCGGAAUCCCAAACGUCGCCGGCGCUAUCUACACCACUCACGUCCAGAUCAUCGCUCCAAAAUCCAACGCCGCCGCAUAUUUAAACAAGAAACAAACGGAGAAAACCCAAAAACAAUCGUAUUCCAUCACACUCCAAGGUAUCGUAGACCCAACCGGCGUUUUCACUGACGUUUCAAUUGGUUGGCCUGGUUCAAUGUCCGACGAACAAAUCUUCGAGAAAUCGGCGUUUCAUCAAAGCGCCGUUAAAGGCCAAGUAAAAGGCGUUUGGGUAGUCGGAAGUACAGGGUACCCAUUAAUGGAUUGGGUUUUAGUUCCUUACGCUCAUCAAAAUCUAACUUGGACUCAACACGCAUUCAAUGAGAAGAUCGAAGAGAUUGAAAAAAUGGGUAAAGAAGCAUUUGCGAGACUGAAAGGAAGAUGGUCGUGUUUGCAGAAAAGGGCUGACGUUAAGCUUCAAGAAUUGCCGGCUGUGCUCGGCGCUUGCUGUGUUUUGCAUAAUAUUUGUGAGCUUCGAAAUGAAGAAAUGGAACCCGAGCUUAAAAUUGAAAUUUCCGAUGAUGAAGUCGUGCCGGAGAAUAAUUUGAGAUCCAUGGUUGCCGUUCAAGCUAGGGAUUAUAUUGCUCAUAAUUUGCUUCACCAUGGCCUUGCCGGUACCGGUUUUCUAUAGUGAUUUCAUUAUAUUAUCCUUAGUUAAAAAAUUUUGUAUUUUUUUUAGUGUGUAGUCCAAUAAUAAUAGGUAGAUAGGCAGAUUUUGAUUGCAUUUUUUGGGGGUAUGGAAUAAAAAAUUCUAUUUGACUUUUUAGUUAAUUAAUUUUUAUUGACUUUUUUAAUAAAUAAAUUUAAAUUUUGUGGAUUAAAAAAUAUUGGAAGAACUAAUUUAUUUUCAAAUUAUGUUACAUAAAACGAAACAAUUGACCACUUACAAUUUAAUAGUUUAUGUUUUGUUGAUUGUAUUAAUAUUUUCUUUAUCAUAAAAAAUCAUCAAAAAAAUAUUCUCUG
RNAcentral lists this long non-coding RNA (4198 nucleotides) under Gossypium barbadense (sea-island cotton). Its description in RNAcentral is "long non-coding RNA (GBAR_LNC007816)". The record is from RNAcentral. Lineage: Eukaryota; Viridiplantae; Streptophyta; Magnoliopsida; Malvales; Malvaceae.